GCCAGGCGUGGUGGUGCGUGCCUGUAGUCCCAGCUACUGCAGAGGCUGAGGUGCGAGGAUCAUUUGGGUCCAGGAGUUCUGGGCUGUAGUGCACUAUGCUGAUCCGGUGUCCACACUAAAUUCGGCAUCAAUAUGGUGACCUUCCAGGAAUGGGGUACCACCAGGUUGCCUGAGGAAGGGUAAACCGGCCCAGGUCAGAAAUGGAACAGGUCAAAACUCCCGUACUGAUCAGUAGUGGGAUCACACCUGUGAAUAGCCACUGCACUCCAGCCUGGGCAACAUUGCGAGACCUCUUCUCUU
This is an unclassified non-coding RNA of Callithrix jacchus (white-tufted-ear marmoset), 300 nucleotides long. It matches the Rfam family "Metazoan signal recognition particle RNA". From Rfam's summary of the family: The signal recognition particle (SRP) is a universally conserved ribonucleoprotein. It is involved in the co-translational targeting of proteins to membranes. The record is from Ensembl. Lineage: Eukaryota; Metazoa; Chordata; Mammalia; Primates; Cebidae.